Molecule: ribosomal RNA, 339 nt
Filed under: Austrogomphus amphiclitus
Lineage: Eukaryota; Metazoa; Arthropoda; Insecta; Odonata; Gomphidae
Description: partial 12S ribosomal RNA
Source: RNAcentral
GUAAUAGUUAUGUUCUUGAAACCCAAAGAAUUUGGCGGUAUUUUAGUCCUUUCAGAGGAACCUGUCCCGUAAUUGACAAUCCACGAUAUUAUUUACUUAUUUUUGUUUUCAGUUUGUAUACCUCCGUUAUAAGAGAAUCUUUUUAGAGUUAUAAAUUUUCUUAAUAUAUUAAGUAUAUUAUAUCAGGUCAAGGUGCAAUUUAUAAAUAAGUGGAGAUGGGUUACAAUAAAUUUAUUUAAACGGAGUAAAUUGAUUAAUAUUUUUACGAAGGUGGAUUUGAUAGUAAUUUUAAUUAUUAAUUAUUAUGAUUUUGGCUCUAAAAUAUGUACACAUCGCCCG